GGCUCGCUGGCGCAAUGGUAGCGCGCAGCCCUCCUAAGGCUGAGGCUGUGGGUUCGAGUCCCACGCGGGUCG
RNAcentral lists this transfer RNA (72 nucleotides) under Corynespora cassiicola Philippines. It matches the Rfam family "tRNA". From Rfam's summary of the family: Transfer RNA (tRNA) molecules are approximately 80 nucleotides in length. Lineage: Eukaryota; Fungi; Ascomycota; Dothideomycetes; Pleosporales; Corynesporascaceae. The record is from Rfam by way of RNAcentral.